This 443-nucleotide ribosomal RNA is filed under the name uncultured bacterium. Its description in RNAcentral is "partial 16S ribosomal RNA". It matches the Rfam family "Bacterial small subunit ribosomal RNA", at positions 338 to 795 of the family's 1533-position model. The record is from RNAcentral.
CCUACGGGUGGCAGCAGUGGGGAAUAUUGGGCAAUGGAGGAAACUCUGACCCAGCAACGCCGCGUGAAUGAUGAAGGUCUUCGGAUUGUAAAGUUCUUUUCUAAGGGAAGAAGAAAGUGACGGUACCUUAGGAAUAAGCCUCGGCUAACUACGUGCCAGCAGCCGCGGUAAUACGUAGGAGGCGAGCGUUAUCCGGAAUGACUGGGCGUAAAGGGUGCGUAGGUGGGAUAGCAAGUCAGAUGUGAAAUCCUAUGGCUUAACCAUAGAACUGCAUUUGAAACUGUUAUUCUAGAGUAUGGGAGAGGUAGGUGGAAUUCUUGGUGUAGGGGUAAAAUCCGUAGAGAUCAAGAGGAAUACUCAUUGCGAAGGCGACCUGCUAGAACAUAACUGACGCUGAUGCGCGAAAGCGUGGGGAGCAAACAGGAUUAGAUACCCCGGUAGUC